UACGUAGGGUCCGAGCGUUGUCCGGAAUUAUUGGGCGUAAAGGGCUCGUAGGCGGUUUGUUGCGUCGGGAGUGAAAACUCAGGGCUUAACUCUGAGCUUGCUUCCGAUACGGGCAGACUUGAGGUAUUCAGGGGAGAACGGAAUUCCUGGUGUAGCGGUGAAAUGCGCAGAUAUCAGGAGGAACACCGGUGGCGAAGGCGGUUCUCUGGGAAUUACCUGACGCUGAGGAGCGAAAGUGUGGGGAGCGAACAGG
This 253-nucleotide ribosomal RNA is filed under the name uncultured bacterium. Its description in RNAcentral is "partial 16S ribosomal RNA". It matches the Rfam family "Bacterial small subunit ribosomal RNA", at positions 524 to 776 of the family's 1533-position model. The record is from RNAcentral.